Molecule: ribosomal RNA, 253 nt
Filed under: uncultured bacterium
Lineage: Bacteria
Description: partial 16S ribosomal RNA
Rfam family: Bacterial small subunit ribosomal RNA
Source: RNAcentral
UACGUAGGGUGCAAGCGUUGUCCGGAAUUAUUGGGCGUAAAGAGCUCGUAGGCGGUCUGUCGCGUCUGCUGUGAAAACUCAGGGCUUAACCCUGAGCUUGCAGUGGGUACGGGCAGACUAGAGUGCGGUAGGGGAGACUGGAAUUCCUGGUGUAGCGGUGAAAUGCGCAGAUAUCGGGAAGAACACCCGUGGCGAAGGCGGCUCUCUGGAACGCAACUGACGCUGAGACGCGAAAGCGUGGGGAGCAAACAGG